RNAcentral lists this ribosomal RNA (450 nucleotides) under uncultured bacterium. RNAcentral's name for it is "partial 16S ribosomal RNA". It matches the Rfam family "Bacterial small subunit ribosomal RNA", at positions 338 to 795 of the family's 1533-position model. The record is from RNAcentral.
CCUACGGGUGGCUGCAGUAGGGAAUAUUGGACAAUGGGCGCAAGCCUGAUCCAGCCAUCCCGCGUGAAGGAUUAAGGCCCUCUGGGUUGUAAACUUCUUUUCUUUGGGAAUAAAAACUCCGAUUCAUCGGAGCUUGAAGGUACCAGAGGAAUAAGCACCGGCUAACUCCGUGCCAGCAGCCGCGGUAAUACGGAGGGUGCAAGAUUCACCCGGUUUCAAGGGUUUUAAGGGGUGCUUGGGUGUCAGUGGUGAAAGCCCGGAGCUCAACUCCGGAACUGCCAUUGAUACUGCUUAGCUUGAAUCAGGUCGAGGUGGAUGGAAUAUUACAUGUAGCGGUGAAAUGCUUAGAUAUGUAAUAGAACACCGAUUGCGAAGGCAGUUCACUAGGCCUGUAUUGACACUGAGGCACGAAAGCGUGGGGAUCAAACAGGAUUAGAUACCCCUGUAGUC